GACGAACGCUGGCGGCGUGCCUAAUACAUGCAAGUUGAGCGCUGAAGGUUGGUACUUGUACCAACUGGAUGAGCAGCGAACGGGUGAGUAACGCGUGGGGAAUCUGCCUUUGAGCGGGGGACAACAUUUGGAAACGAAUGCUAAUACCGCAUAAAAACUUUAAACACAAGUUUUAAGUUUGAAAGAUGCAAUUGCAUCACUCAAAGAUGAUCCCGCGUUGUAUUAGCUAGUUGGUGAGGUAAAGGCUCACCAAGGCGAUGAUACAUAGCCGACCUGAGAGGGAGAUCGGCCACAUUGGGACUGGGACACGGCCCCAACUCCUACGGGAGGCAGCAGUAGGGAAUCUUCGGCAAUGGACGAAAGUCUGACCGAGCAACGCCGCGUGAGUGAAGAAGGUUUUCGGAUCGUAAAACUCUGUUGGUAGGGAAGAACGUUGGUGAGAGUGGAAAGCUCAUCAAGUGACGGUAACUACCCAGAAAGGGACGGCUAACUACGUG
This 497-nucleotide ribosomal RNA is filed under the name uncultured bacterium. RNAcentral's name for it is "partial 16S ribosomal RNA". It matches the Rfam family "Bacterial small subunit ribosomal RNA", at positions 28 to 507 of the family's 1533-position model. The record is from RNAcentral.